Molecule: ribosomal RNA, 435 nt
Filed under: uncultured Clostridium sp.
Lineage: Bacteria; Bacillati; Bacillota; Clostridia; Eubacteriales; Clostridiaceae
Description: partial 16S ribosomal RNA
Rfam family: Bacterial small subunit ribosomal RNA
Source: RNAcentral
ACGGGAGGGCAGCAGUGGGGAAUAUUGGACAAUGGGGGAAACCCUGAUCCAGCGACGCCGCGUGAGUGAAGAAGUAUUUCGGUAUGUAAAGCUCUAUCAGCAAGGAAGAAAAUGACGGUACUUGACUAAGAAGCCCCGGCUAACUAUGUGCCAGCAGCCGCGGUAAUACGUAGGGGGCAAGCGUUAUCCGGAUUUACUGGGUGUAAAGGGAGCGUAGACGGCAAUGUAAGUCUGAAGUGAAAGCCCUGGGCUCAACCCGGGAACUGCUUUGGAAACUGUAUAGCUAGAGUGCAGGAGAGGUAAGUGGAAUUCCUAGUGUAGCGGUGAAAUGCGUAGAUAUUAGGAGGAACACCAGUGGCGAAGGCGGCUUACUGGACUGUAACUGACGUUGAGGCUCGAAAGCGUGGGGAGCGAACAGGAUUAGAUACCCUGGUA